Long non-coding RNA from Oncorhynchus tshawytscha (Chinook salmon), 586 nucleotides. Lineage: Eukaryota; Metazoa; Chordata; Actinopteri; Salmoniformes; Salmonidae. The record is from Ensembl.
GUAAUAAUGAGAGCCAGGUGUGUGUAAUGAUGAGUGCCAGGUGUGUGUAAUGAUGAGUGCCAGGUGGGUGUAUUAAUGAGAGCCAGGUGUGUGUAAUGAUGAGUGCCAGGUGUACGUAAUGAUGAGUGCCAGGUGUGCGUAAUAAUGAGAGCCAGGUGUGCGUAAUAAUGAGUGCCAGGUGGGUGUAAUGAUGAGUGCCAGGUGGGUGUAAUGAUGAGUGCCAGGUGUGUGUAAUGAUGAGUGCCAGGUGUGUGUAAUGAUGGGUGCCAGGUGUGUGUAAUGAUGAGUGCCAGGUGGGUGUAAUGAUGAGUGCCAGGUGGGUGUAAUGAUGAGUGCCAGGUGUGUGUAAUGAUGAGUGCCAGGUGUGUGUAAUGAUGGGUGCCAGGUGGGUGUAAUGAUGAGUGCCAGGUGUGUGUAAUGAUGAGUGCCAGGUGGGUGUAAUGAUGAGUGCCAGGUGUGUGUAAUGAUGGGUGCCAGGUGUGUGUAAUGAUGAGUGCCAGGUGUGUGUAAUGAUGAGUGCCAGGUGGGUGUAAUGAUGAGUGCCAGGUGUGUGUAAUGAUGAGUGCCAGGUGUGUGUAAUGAUGAG